This 490-nucleotide ribosomal RNA is filed under the name uncultured bacterium. RNAcentral describes it as "partial 16S ribosomal RNA". It matches the Rfam family "Bacterial small subunit ribosomal RNA", at positions 30 to 507 of the family's 1533-position model. The record is from RNAcentral.
AUUGAACGCUGGCGGCAGGCCUAACACAUGCAAGUCGAACGGUAACAGGAAGAAGCUUGCUUCUUUGCUGACGAGUGGCGGACGGGUGAGUAAUGUCUGGGAAACUGCCUGAUGGAGGGGGAUAACUACUGGAAACGGUAGCUAAUACCGCAUAACGUCGCAAGACCAAAGAGGGGGACCUUCGGGCCUCUUGCCAUCGGAUGUGCCCAGAUGGGAUUAGCUAGUAGGUGGGGUAACGGCUCACCUAGGCGACGAUCCCUAGCUGGUCUGAGAGGAUGACCAGCCCAACCGGAACCGAGACAAGGUUCAGACUCCUACGGGAAGCAGCAGUUGGGAAUAUUUGCCAAUGGGGGGAAGCCUGAUGCAGCCAAGCCGCGUGGAUGAAGAAGGGCUUCGGGUUUUAAAAUACUUUCAGCGGGGAGGAAAGGAGUUAAAUUAAUACCUUUACUCAUUGACGUUACCCGCAGAAGAAGCACCGGCUAACUCCGUG